UACGUAGGGCGCAAGCGUUGUCCGGAAUUAUUGGGCGUAAAGAGCUCGUAGGCGGCUUGUCACGUCGGGUGUGAAAGCCCGGGGCUUAACCCCGGGUCUGCAUUCGAUACGGGCUAGCUAGAGUGUGGUAGGGGAGAUCGGAAUUCCUGGUGUAGCGGUGAAAUGCGCAGAUAUCAGGAGGAACACCGGUGGCGAAGGCGGAUCUCUGGGCCAUUGCUGACGCUGAGGAGCGAAAGCGUGGGGAGCGAACAGG
RNAcentral lists this ribosomal RNA (253 nucleotides) under uncultured bacterium. RNAcentral's name for it is "partial 16S ribosomal RNA". It matches the Rfam family "Bacterial small subunit ribosomal RNA", at positions 524 to 776 of the family's 1533-position model. The record is from RNAcentral.